RNAcentral lists this ribosomal RNA (460 nucleotides) under uncultured Photobacterium sp. Its description in RNAcentral is "bacterial SSU rRNA". It matches the Rfam family "Bacterial small subunit ribosomal RNA", at positions 60 to 504 of the family's 1533-position model. The record is from RNAcentral. Lineage: Bacteria; Pseudomonadati; Pseudomonadota; Gammaproteobacteria; Vibrionales; Vibrionaceae.
AGUCGAGCGGCAGCGACUUAACUGAACCUUCGGGGAACGUUAAGGGCGGCGAGCGGCGGACGGGUGAGUAAUGCCUGGGAAUAUGCCCUGAUGUGGGGGAACUAUUGGAAACGAUAGCUAAUACCGCAUAAUCUCUUCGGGGCAAAGAGGGGGACCUUCGGGCCUCUCGCGUCAGGAUUAGCCCAGGUGGGAUUAGCUUGUUGGUGAGGUAAUGGCUCACCAAGGCAACGAUCCCUAGCUGGUCUGAGAGGAUGAUCAGCCACACUGGAACUGAGACACGGUCCAGACUCCUACGGGAGGCAGCAGUGGGGAAUAUUGCACAAUGGGGGAAACCCUGAUGCAGCUAUGCCGCGUGUGUGAAGAAGCUUCGGGUUGUAAAGCACUUUCAGUAGGGAGGAAGGUAGUGUAGUUAACACCUGCACUAUUUGACGUUACCUACAGAAGAAGCACCGCUAACUCC